This is a long non-coding RNA of Tupaia belangeri chinensis (Chinese tree shrew), 464 nucleotides long. RefSeq lists it as uncharacterized. NCBI's taxonomy places the organism in Eukaryota, Metazoa, Chordata, Mammalia, Scandentia, Tupaiidae. The transcript is spliced from 3 exons. The record is from RefSeq and is a predicted model, not a curated record.
UAGAAAUCUAAUACAUCAUGGAAGAGAAAUUAUUUAGGAAAUCUUCUCAUUCCUAUAAGGGAGAGCUUUCAUAUGUAACCUUAAAGGCUCACUGACGGCCUAGCAAAUAAUCAGUUUUGGAAAAUGUCUCCUAUACACUCGAAAAAAUGGUGUCCAGUAGACCUGCCGAGCACCAGGAGGCUGGGACAAGCACCCACUGCCACAGGCUUCCCAACCUGAAUCCCGCCUGGGUUUGAAGAUGAUGUCUUCGGAGGGGUGGCCGAGCUUCUAGGCUGGCCUUCUAGGCUGGCUCGCCCAGUCCCACUCCUGCUUGGAUCCUGACGGCUGUGUCCUGUGGCUUGCCCCCUCCCCUCCGCAACCUCCACUUCUCUGAGAGGCGGUGAGAUUUCUGUCCACCUGCGGGGCUGCUCUUUUUCUCAUGCAACAGUGAACCUUCUCCAGGGAGGGCAAGAAGCGAGCCACUU